AGUGAACGCUGGCGGCGUGCUUAACACAUGCAAGUCGAACGAGAACGGAAUAUAGCUUGCUAUAUUUGUCAGCUAAGUGGCGCACGGGUGAGUAAUGUAUAGAUAACCUGCCCUUAAGAAAGGAAUAACAGUUGGAAACGACUGCUAAUGCCCUAUAUGCCUUUAAUACAUAAGUAUGCAAGGGAAACGCUUUAGUGCUUAAGGAUGGGUCUGUAUGGUAUCAGCUUGUUGGUGAGGUAAUGGCUCACCAAGGCUAUGACGCCUAACUGGUUUGAGAGGAUGAUCAGUCACACUGGAACUGAGACACGGUCCAGACUCCUACGGGAGGCAGCAGUGGGGAAUAUCGCACAAUGGACGAAAGUCUGAUGCAGCAACGCCGCGUGGAGGAUGACACAUUUCGGUGCGUAAACUCCUUUUAUAUAGGAAGAUAAUGACGGUACUAUAUGAAUAAGCACCGGCUAACUCCGUGCCAGCCGCCGCCGUAA
This 485-nucleotide ribosomal RNA is filed under the name uncultured bacterium. RNAcentral's name for it is "partial 16S ribosomal RNA". It matches the Rfam family "Bacterial small subunit ribosomal RNA", at positions 29 to 523 of the family's 1533-position model. The record is from RNAcentral.